AGAGUUUGAUCAUGGCUCAGAUUGAACGCUGGCGGCAGGCCUAACACAUGCAAGUCGAGCGGUAGCACAGAGAGCUUGCUCUCGGGUGACGAGCGGCGGACGGGUGAGUAAUGUCUGGGAAACUGCCUGAUGGAGGGGGAUAACUACUGGAAACGGUAGCUAAUACCGCAUAACGUCGCAAGACCAAAGUGGGGGACCUUCGGGCCUCAUGCCAUCAGAUGUGCCCAGAUGGGAUUAGCUAGUAGGUGGGGUAACGGCUCACCUAGGCGACGAUCCCUAGCUGGUCUGAGAGGAUGACCAGCCACACUGGAACUGAGACACGGUCCAGACUCCUACGGGAGGCAGCAGUGGGGAAUAUUGCACAAUGGGCGCAAGCCUGAUGCAGCCAUGCCGCGUGUGUGAAGAAGGCCUUCGGGUUGUAAAGCACUUUCAGCGGGGAGGAAGGCGNNNNNNNNNNNNNNCGAUUGACGUUACCCGCAGAAGAAGCACCGGCUAACUCCGUGCCAGCAGCCGCGGUAAUACGGAGGGUGCAAGCGUUAAUCGGAAUUACUGGGCGUAAAGCGCACGCAGGCGGUCUGUCAAGUCGGAUGUGAAAUCCCCGGGCUCAACCUGGGAACUGCAUUCGAAACUGGCAGGCUAGAGUCUUGUAGAGGGGGGUAGAAUUCCAGGUGUAGCGGUGAAAUGCGUAGAGAUCUGGAGGAAUACCGGUGGCGAAGGCGGCCCCCUGGACAAAGACUGACGCUCAGGUGCGAAAGCGUGGGGAGCAAACAGGAUUAGAUACCCUGGUAGUCCACGCCGUAAACGAUGUCGAUUUGGAGGUUGUGCCCUUGAGGCGUGGCUUCCGGAGCUAACGCGUUAAAUCGACCGCCUGGGGAGUACGGCCGCAAGGUUAAAACUCAAAUGAAUUGACGGGGGCCCGCACAAGCGGUGGAGCAUGUGGUUUAAUUCGAUGCAACGCGAAGAACCUUACCUGGUCUUGACAUCCACAGAACUUNUUGGUGCCUUCGGGAACUGUGAGACAGGUGCUGCAUGGCUGUCGUCAGCUCGUGUUGUGAAAUGUUGGGUUAAGUCCCGCAACGAGCGCAACCCUUAUCCUUUGUUGCCAGCGGUCCGGCCGGGAACUCAAAGGAGACUGCCAGUGAUAAACUGGAGGAAGGUGGGGAUGACGUCAAGUCAUCAUGGCCCUUACGACCAGGGCUACACACGUGCUACAAUGGCAUAUACAAAGAGAAGCGACCUCGCGAGAGCAAGCGGACCUCAUAAAGUAUGUCGUAGUCCGGAUUGGAGUCUGCAACUCGACUCCAUGAAGUCGGAAUCGCUAGUAAUCGUAGAUCAGAAUGCUACGGUGAAUACGUUCCCGGGCCUUGUACACACCGCCCGUCACACCAUGGGAGUGGGUUGCAAAAGAAGUAGGUAGCUUAACCUUCGGGAGGGCGCUUACCACUUUGUGAUUCAUGACUGGGGUGAAGUCGUAACAAGGUAACCGUAGGGGAACCUGCGGUUGGAUCACCU
Molecule: ribosomal RNA, 1512 nt
Filed under: Klebsiella pneumoniae
Lineage: Bacteria; Pseudomonadati; Pseudomonadota; Gammaproteobacteria; Enterobacterales; Enterobacteriaceae
Description: bacterial SSU rRNA
Rfam family: Bacterial small subunit ribosomal RNA
Source: RNAcentral